UACGAAGGGGGCUAGCGUUGCUCGGAAUCACUGGGCGUAAAGCGCACGUAGGCGGCUUUCUAAGUCAGGGGUGAAAUCCUGGAGCUCAACUCCAGAACUGCCUUUGAUACUGGCGAUCUUGAGUCCGGGAGAGGUGAGUGGAACUGCGAGUGUAGAGGUGAAAUUCGUAGAUAUUCGCAAGAACACCAGUGGCGAAGGCGGCUCACUGGCCCGGUACUGACGCUGAGGUGCGAAAGCGUGGGGAGCAAACGGG
Molecule: ribosomal RNA, 253 nt
Filed under: uncultured bacterium
Lineage: Bacteria
Description: partial 16S ribosomal RNA
Rfam family: Bacterial small subunit ribosomal RNA
Source: RNAcentral